GCUAGGUGUGGGGGUGCACCCCGGUAAUCCCAACGGCCUGGGAGGUUGAGGCAGGAGGAUCACUAGUUUGAGGCCAGCCUCCCCAACUUAGCAAGGCCCUAACUAACUUAGUGAGACCCUGUCUCAA
This 127-nucleotide small RNA is filed under the name Marmota monax (woodchuck). The record is from RNAcentral. Lineage: Eukaryota; Metazoa; Chordata; Mammalia; Rodentia; Sciuridae.